This 253-nucleotide ribosomal RNA is filed under the name uncultured bacterium. RNAcentral describes it as "partial 16S ribosomal RNA". It matches the Rfam family "Bacterial small subunit ribosomal RNA", at positions 524 to 776 of the family's 1533-position model. The record is from RNAcentral.
UACAGAGGGUGCAAGCGUUAAUCGGAGUUACUGGGCGUAAAGGGCGCGUAGGCGGAUGUUUAAGUUAGAUGUGAAAUCCCUGGGCUUAACCUAGGAACUGCAUAUAAGACUGGACAACUAGAGUACUGUAGAGGGUAGUGGAAUUUCCGGUGUAGCGGUGAAAUGCGUAGAGAUCGGAAGGAACAUCAGUGGCGAAGGCGGCUACCUGGACAGAUACUGACGCUGAGGCGCGAGAGCGUGGGGAGCAAACAGG